RNAcentral lists this ribosomal RNA (255 nucleotides) under uncultured bacterium. RNAcentral's name for it is "partial 16S ribosomal RNA". It matches the Rfam family "Bacterial small subunit ribosomal RNA", at positions 99 to 354 of the family's 1533-position model. The record is from RNAcentral.
CGGACGGGUGAGUAACGCGUGGAUAACCUGCCGUAUACCGGGGGAUAACACUUAGAAAUAGGUGCUAAUACCGCAUAAGCGCACGGCUCCGCAUGGAGCAGUGUGAAAAAUUCCGGUGGUAUACGAUGGAUCCGCGUCUGAUUAGCUAGUUGGCGGGGUAACGGCCCACCAAGGCAGCGAUCAGUAGCCGGCCUGAGAGGGUGGACGGCCACAUUGGGACUGAGACACGGCCCAAACUCCUACGGAAGGCAGCAG